This 253-nucleotide ribosomal RNA is filed under the name uncultured bacterium. Its description in RNAcentral is "partial 16S ribosomal RNA". It matches the Rfam family "Bacterial small subunit ribosomal RNA", at positions 524 to 776 of the family's 1533-position model. The record is from RNAcentral.
UACGAAGGGGGCUAGCGUUGUUCGGAAUCACUGGGCGUAAAGCGCACGUAGGCGGAUGUGUCAGUCAGGGGUGAAAUCCCGGAGCUCAACUUCGGAACUGCCCUUGAUACAGCACGUCUUGAGUCCGGAAGAGGUGGGUGGAAUUCCUAGUGUAGAGGUGAAAUGCGCAGAUAUCAGGAGGAACACCUAUUGCGAAGGCAGCUCGCUGGGACGUAACUGACGCUGAGACGCGAAAGCGUGGGGAGCAAACAGG